CGCACAUUGCGCCCCCUGGUAUUCCGGCGGGCAUGCCUGUUCGAGCGUCAUUUCAACCCACAAGCUCAGCUUGGUAUUGGGAGCUGGCCCCUAGGGGCCUCCCCGAAAAUUAGCGGCGAUGCGACCGGAUUCCCAGCGCAGUGACUUUAAAUCUCGCUGAUUGGAUCCCCGGGCGAUGUCAGCCGGACAACAAACCAUUUAUUUUUCAAGAUUGACCUCGGAUCAGGUAGGGAUACCCGCUGAACUUAA
Molecule: unclassified non-coding RNA, 249 nt
Filed under: Rutstroemiaceae sp.
Lineage: Eukaryota; Fungi; Ascomycota; Leotiomycetes; Helotiales; Rutstroemiaceae
Description: partial contains 5.8S ribosomal RNA, internal transcribed spacer 2, and large subunit ribosomal RNA
Source: RNAcentral